UGUUGUUGUGUUGUUGUUGUGUUGUUGUUGUACCUGGGUGAGGGUCAUGCCGCUCUUCAUGAGUUGUUGUUGUGUUGUUGUGUUGUUGUUGUUGUACCUGGGUGAGGGUCAUGCCGCUCUUCAUGAGCUGUGUUGUUGUGUUGUUGUUGUGUUGUUGUUGUUGUACCUGGGUGAGGGUCAUGCCGCUCUUCAUGAGUUGUUGUUGUUGUGUUGUUGUUGUGUUGUUGUUGUGUUG
Petromyzon marinus (sea lamprey) is the source of this 235-nucleotide non-coding RNA. Lineage: Eukaryota; Metazoa; Chordata; Hyperoartia; Petromyzontiformes; Petromyzontidae. The record is from RefSeq and is a predicted model, not a curated record.